UAAAUACUUAGGUAAGAGGAAAGCUGGAUUAAAUAAACAAAUAAAUAACGCGCAAGAGAACAAAGACUUGGUUCAUCAGCACCACCGAUACUGGAGACCUUCUUCCUCUUCGUACGUUUCUCUGUCACCUUUUUACUUAUAUUUCCCCCAAACGUGAUCGUGGAUUCUACUCAAUUCCUCUUCUUCUUUUGACUCUUCCUAUCUUAUAUUUCCCCCAAACAUGAUCGUGGAUUCUACUCAAAACCUCUUCUUCUUUUGACUCUUCCUUAUAUAGUUUUCUUAAAAAGAUUGUUUUUUUCACCUUUUUUUUUGUUGUGUG
This 319-nucleotide long non-coding RNA is filed under the name Nicotiana benthamiana. RNAcentral's name for it is "long non-coding RNA (NBEN_LNC009754)". Lineage: Eukaryota; Viridiplantae; Streptophyta; Magnoliopsida; Solanales; Solanaceae. The record is from RNAcentral.